RNAcentral lists this non-coding RNA (27 nucleotides) under Rattus norvegicus (Norway rat). Lineage: Eukaryota; Metazoa; Chordata; Mammalia; Rodentia; Muridae. The record is from RNAcentral.
UAAGUAAUUCUAUUUGUCUGAUGCCUC